GCACAAGCCGGUGGAGCAUGUGGUUUAAUUCGAAGCAACGCGCAGAACCUUACCAUCCCUUGACAUGGAUGUAUCCGGAGAGAUCCGGGGUCCACUUCGGUGGCGUGCACACAGGUGCUGCAUGGCUGUCGUCAGCUCGUGUCGUGAGAUGUUGGGUUAAGUCCCGCAACGAGCGCAACCCACGUCCUUAGUUGCCAUCAUUUAGUUGGGCACUCUAGGGAGACUGCCGGUGAUAAGCCGCGAGGAAGGUGUGGAUGACGUCAAGUCCUCAUGGCCCUUACGGGAUGGGCUACACACGUGCUACAAUAGGCGGUGACAGUGGGACGCGAAGGAGCGAUCUGGAGCAAAUCCCCAAAAACCGUCUCAGUUCAGAUUGCACUCUGCAACUCGAGUGCAUGAAGGCGGAAUCGCUAGUAAUCGUGGAUCAGCAUGCCACGGUGAAUACGUUCCCGGGC
This 455-nucleotide ribosomal RNA is filed under the name uncultured bacterium. RNAcentral describes it as "bacterial SSU rRNA". It matches the Rfam family "Bacterial small subunit ribosomal RNA", at positions 923 to 1379 of the family's 1533-position model. The record is from RNAcentral.